AGCACUCGUUGUCUCUGCGCUCUCUACUGUGUCCCCCCACUGACUCACUCUGAACAGUUUUUCACUCUAAACUCGUUGUGGUUGGUACUUCUUUGCAUCAAGUUCCUUUCUGAAACUACCUACCUUUCUACCUCUACAGUAGGUCUCAUCUUUAAGAACCCACCUGUGGUUUCUCAGCAUGGCCAGUAUAGAUUUAGAAGCUGUGCUCCUUAUUUUGCACACCUUCUUGAGUAACCUUGAGUGCCUUUCAUCGAGGGCAUCACUAGCCUAGGGGACUCCUGGUGGGAGUUUGCUCGGGUUCUCUGCUCGGAUCCCGUUGCUCAACAUGGCACCACGGGGGGUUUCCUCUCACCCCCUGCUCCUGCUCUUAGACUCUGCAGCUUCGUCAUUUAUACUGUGAGCUGCCCGUCUCCUAAGAUGGCUCACCUGAGACUUCUCCCUCACUUGCCCACACCUUCCUGGUCACCCGCGUUUACAGAAUUCCAUCAUAUUCCUCCCCUCCAAGGCGUCGAACUGCCUCACUUUAC
RNAcentral lists this long non-coding RNA (527 nucleotides) under Marmota monax (woodchuck). The record is from RNAcentral. Lineage: Eukaryota; Metazoa; Chordata; Mammalia; Rodentia; Sciuridae.